AGGUGCCGCGUCGUGCUCGCGAGAGAACAGAAAUGCGCUUCCCCCUGCUUUGGCGCCUUGCUACGGGGCCCUGGAUUGGGCCAGAUUUAUGCAGACGCGUUCCCGCUCGCCUGAAAGAACAGGUUGCAGGUCCCCCUGGUGGCCAGAGGCAGGGAAAGAGCUGCUGAUAAACAGGAGCGAACUCCACACACAGCAAGCUCUCCGUUCUCCGGGUGUACAGGUAUUUUCCCAGACUAUACAGCUGAGGGGAAUAGUGGCCCCCUGUGGGGCCACUGCACAGUAUGAGCAGAGCAUACUGCAUCUGCUCAGCUAAAUUUUAUAAAAGGAAACGCUCCCUUUAUAAAACAGUAGUCUCACAGAGUCACCUACCAACUUUUUUGGUUUGGGUUUUUUUUUUUUUCUGCCUCCGUAAUUGUGAGAAUAAGAUUAGAGGAUUGGUCACAAUCAGAGCGAUGCCAGCGUGGGAAGCACGGUUGGAUUUCCCUGGCAUUCCACCACCUGAUGCUGUUCGGUUCCCCGUCCCACCUCCUUCAGCUCAUGAAAACCCCAGACUCAGCCAGACUCAGAGACUCAUCAGGAUUACCUGCUUGUGGGUAGGAGCUACCCGCUUUGGGUCUCCUCUCUGCUGAGAGCUGUUUGGUUGCCCAAUAAAGCUCUUCUCUGCCUUGAUCACCC
Non-coding RNA from Macaca mulatta (Rhesus monkey), 675 nucleotides. The record is from RefSeq and is a predicted model, not a curated record. NCBI's taxonomy places the organism in Eukaryota, Metazoa, Chordata, Mammalia, Primates, Cercopithecidae.